AAGCUUAGGUUAGACAAACCAGAGGCCUUCAAAGCCUCAAACAAGGACUCACCCCCUUAGCUUUUG
This 66-nucleotide transfer RNA is filed under the name Trachylepis polytropis (tropical mabuya). RNAcentral describes it as "tRNA-Trp". The record is from RNAcentral. Lineage: Eukaryota; Metazoa; Chordata; Lepidosauria; Squamata; Scincidae.